RNAcentral lists this long non-coding RNA (268 nucleotides) under Gallus gallus (chicken). RNAcentral describes it as "long non-coding RNA NONGGAT006796". The record is from RNAcentral. Lineage: Eukaryota; Metazoa; Chordata; Aves; Galliformes; Phasianidae.
CGGGGAGCCGGCGUUUUGUUUUGGGUUUUGUUUUUCCUUGAGGACUUCAGUGACUCUUGCAUAAGGAACAGACCUGUAAAGAUGUUUAUGUGGUGGUCAGCAGUUUUACUUCUUGGAUGGAUUUUGUUCGGAGCAGAUGGGUGGCCAGCCAAGGAAGGAUAUGACUUUAUGCCCUAUCAGCCACUCAUAAGAUUACGCCACAAGGUACUGAUUACUCUCUAGCACUUCUGACUUCUGUUCCAUGGUCAAGCAUUAAAGUAUGUGCCAG